AACGAACGCUGGCGGCAGGCCUAACACAUGCAAGUCGAGCGAGGACUUCGGUUCUAGCGGCGGACGGGUGAGUAACGCGUGGGAAUGUGCCCUUCUCUACGGAAUAGCCCUGGGAAACUGGGAGUAAUACCGUAUACGCCCUUUUGGGGAAAGAUUUAUCGGAGAAGGAUCAGCCCGCGUUGGAUUAGGUAGUUGGUGGGGUAAUGGCCUACCAAGCCGACGAUCCAUAGCUGGUUUGAGAGGAUGAUCAGCCACACUGGGACUGAGACACGGCCCAGACUCCUACGGGAGGCAGCAGUGGGGAAUCUUAGACAAGGGGGGCAACCCUGAUCUAGCCAUGCCGCGUGAGUGAUGAAGGCCUUAGGGUUGUAAAGCUCUUUCAGCUGGGAAGAUAAUGACGGUACCAGCAGAAGAAGCCCCGGCUAACUCCGUG
RNAcentral lists this ribosomal RNA (433 nucleotides) under uncultured bacterium. RNAcentral describes it as "partial 16S ribosomal RNA". It matches the Rfam family "Bacterial small subunit ribosomal RNA", at positions 29 to 507 of the family's 1533-position model. The record is from RNAcentral.